RNAcentral lists this ribosomal RNA (253 nucleotides) under uncultured bacterium. RNAcentral describes it as "partial 16S ribosomal RNA". It matches the Rfam family "Bacterial small subunit ribosomal RNA", at positions 524 to 776 of the family's 1533-position model. The record is from RNAcentral.
UACGGAGGGGGCUAGCGUUGUUCGGAAUUACUGGGCGUAAAGCGCGCGUAGGCAGACCUGCAAGUCGGGGGUGAAAGCCCGAGGCUCAACCUCGGAACUGCCUUCGAUACUGCGGGUCUCGAGUCCGGGAGAGGUGAGUGGAAUUCCUAGUGUAGAGGUGAAAUUCGUAGAUAUUAGGAAGAACACCCGUGGCGAAGGCGGCCCUCUGGUACGGAACUGACGCUGAGACGCGAAAGCGUGGGGAGCGAACAGG